RNAcentral lists this unclassified non-coding RNA (343 nucleotides) under soil metagenome. RNAcentral describes it as "partial contains 5.8S ribosomal RNA, internal transcribed spacer 2, and large subunit ribosomal RNA". The stretch from base 1 to 120 matches the Rfam family "5.8S ribosomal RNA", at positions 35 to 154 of the family's 154-position model. The record is from RNAcentral.
GAUGAAGAACGCAGCGAAAUGCGAUAAGUAAUGUGAAUUGCAGAAUUCAGUGAAUCAUCGAAUCUUUGAACGCACAUUGCGCCCGCUAGUAUUCUGGCGGGCAUGCCUGUCCGAGCGUCAUUUCAACCCUCAAGCCCCCGGGCUUGGAGUUGGGGAUCGGCGAGCCUCCGCGCCCGCCGUCCCCUAAAUCUAGUGGCGGUCUCGCUGUAGCUUCCUCUGCGUAGUAGCACACCUCGCACUGGGAAACAGCGCGGCCACGCCGUUAAACCCCCAACUUCUGAACGUUUGACCUCGGAUCAGGUAGGAAUACCCGCUGAACUUAAGCAUAUCAAUAAGCGGAGGA